GUAAAUUUUAUGUCAAAGUUGCUCAGUUGUAGGUUAAAGUUGCCCAGUUUUGUGUCAAACUUCAUAAAUUAUUGGUCAGAGAUGGUAAAUUCUAUGUCAAAGUUGCUCAAUAACAAACGGAAACAUCUCCAAUAAUCUGGUUUAUCCGUUGAUUUUUAGGGAGUUUUACGGUUUUCUAGAAACGUCUUCAAUUUCUUCACGUCAUUGAUCUCUUAAAGUAACAAACAUUUUAUCGAUUAUUGAUUUGUCUCUUUGCUUAACUAGAAGUUGUCUGUUUUUUCCUGCAAAGGUUUAUUUUUUUGUCAGGACUGUACAAUAAAAGAAAAACUUUAUCUAAUAUUUUACACUUAUAUCUAAAUUCAGUAAAAAUUAACAUCUGCACCUAAGAAAUCAAUUUAUAUGAAGGCGUUCCAAAACAUUUUUCAUUAGUUUUCUGUCGUAGUUUCUCAAAUAGUAAAGGACUACGAUGAGGCCCUGACUGUAAAUAUCAAAUCUCUAACUUUUUAAAAUGUUAAAUAUCUCAUUUUAGGAGACAUUAUUUUCUUUUUAUUGCUGAUUUUGUUGCUUUGUGUCGACUGUUGAUCGGUCGGAUUGUCAACCUGCUUCAUGCUUUUAUUCUGUCUUUAUUUUCUUAAUGUUUGAGGCACAUAAACGAACCGAGCAACACGUGAAGAAAUCUGUAAAAUAUGUUAAAAAUUAAAUGUAGUCGACGCAAAACAAACAUGGAAGCAAAGAAAAAAAACAAUAUUUUUUAUUUUAGAAGCAGCUGAAUACCGAAGAAAUCCUGAAAAAUAACCACUACUGAAUGUAGAUUGUCUAGAUCUAUUAACCACUACAAUCUGAAUAUCUCAAUCUGAUGUUAUGUGAUUCUAAAGUUCCCUCAAUUUGUAAACAAACUCAGAAUUUUAAAGCUGCAGAUCUUGGAAUUUCUGGUGCAAAAUUAAACCAGCUAGUAUGGAUUUUUAAAAAUAUACACAUAUAGAAAAAUACUGAAUAAAUGCUUUAAAUUCUGUGGUUGCCUUCAAAAAGAUUUUUAUAAUUUUUUUUGCUUCCAUAGUUUUGGGUCAAGAUUUAUUAUUAAUUUACUGACAAUUGAGGAUUUAAUUUAAAAAAAAGAUUUAAACAAUUCUUUUACAUUUUAUUUAGGAUAUGUGAAUGUAUUCAUAAUGUUUAAAUAAUUAUAUUUCACUACCAAAACGUUGUUCAAUUAUAGGUCAAAAUGGUAAAUUAUAGGUCAGUUACCCAAUUAUAGGUCAAAGUUGCCCAGUUAUCAGUUAAAGUUGCCCCAUUAUGGUUUAAAGUUGCCUAAUUGUAUAUCAAAAUUGCUCAAUUAUAGGUUAAAGUUGCCAAAUUUUAUGUCAAAGUUGCCCAGUUGUAGGUUAAAGAUGGUACUUUUUAUGUCAUAGUUGCUCAAUUUUAAGUCAAAGUUGCUCAAUUAUGGGUUAAAGCAGCUAAAAUGUAGGUCAAAGUUACCCAGUUAUUGAUUAAAGUUGCCCCAUUAUGGUUUAAAGUUGCCUAGUUUUAUAUCAAAGUUGCUCAAUCUUAUGUCUCAGUUUCUUGAUUAUUGAUGAAUUCUAGGUCAGUUUUAAGUCAAAGCUGCUCAACCUGUUGCCGUCCAUCACUGAGUCCUGAACUCGGACUUCUGAUCCCAGAAUCAUUUUUAAAGUGAUGUUGUUGUCAUGAACGUAAAUUCUGGGUUCACUGAAGCACAGACGAGUUUUAUUUGACUUUAUCUGUGUUUGUUUUUGAAGCGGUGAAAUUUAAAAUCUCUGUCCAUCCUUUUGUUGUAGUUUUUAUUCCUGUCAGAGUUUCUCCUCCUACAUGUGGAGUCGUGAUGAUUUGUGGAGUCGUGAUGAUUUGUGGAGCGGUUCUGUGGACGGCUGCUGCUGGAGACUCUCAGGAUUCAGGUCUAGAAAGAAACACAGAAGAAAAAUAAUAUUCAGGCAGACGUAAAAAAUGAGGAAGUAGCUAACGUACACUGUAAGAAAAUAUGAAUGAAAACAUGAUAAAAAAAAAUCUGGCAGCAAAAAUAUGAAAAAUGGUGUAAAAAAAACCUGAAAAAACCUUGCGAUUUUAUUUAAUGGUAACUUACCAUAAAUUUAUGGUAUUCAACUUUAAUUUGAUAGCCUCAGCAAUUACAUAAAAAUUUAAUAUUUGUAAAGUUACGAUAAAUUUUAAAAAAAAAUCUUUUCUUCGUUUUUUAGGAACAGAUUUUCAUUGUUUUGUAAAAAUACAGAUAAUAAUUAGUAAAAUCACAGAAAAAAAGUAUUUUUACCAUAAAAUUUAAACUAAUUGUAAAUUACUAAAGCAGAAAAAGCUGCUAAAACUGUUUUUACAGUGUGAUCUAUAUGUGUUUAUUGUCCAUUUAAUAUUUUUAUUUCAAUAUGAGAUUCAAUUAAUUUUUCUAAUGGAGCCACAUAUUAGACAUGAUAUGUUCAGGGACCCUUGGAAAGUUGAAAAACUGAUGAUUUUUUCUGUUUUUACAUUUUCUGGGUUUGACAGCUGGUGGAAUUUUGGCGAUUGCAUUUAAACAUAACACACCUUCAUCAGGAUUUAAAAAUAUUAGAAUAUUAACUCACAGGAGGAAUCUGAUUAAAAUAAACGUUUGUAAUCAUUUCUCAUCACUCUGCUCAGUAACCACGGCGACACAUUGGAUGCUGCAUCAUCCUCACGUUCCGCUCCACAUCUCAGAGGCUCCUAGAAUCUGAAUAAUCCUAAAAACAAACGUUUGAAUGUGACAUGAGAUCAUUCUCUGUAACUCUCCUCCAUGUUAACUGUGUUUGCAGUAAAUAAACGCUCCUGUUUCUGACCGGUUCUGUUAAACUGGUGACUUCAUUACGGUGCUGUUAGAGAGUAACGAGGUCACAAAUCGUGAACAAGUCGAGGAAAUGGGCUGAAGUUCCAACAGAUUAUUUUGUUUACUCUCUGACUGCGCUGUAACGGAGGAAAGUUUGUCUGCAGAUUUGUUUUGUGAGCAGAAGUGAUGUUUGUCCGGCGAUUCCUUGUACAGCUUUACUGGUUUUGAAGAAUAAAAUGAUCAAAUUCAGGUUGUUUCAUUGUUUUGUUGUGUG
Long non-coding RNA from Amphiprion ocellaris (clown anemonefish), 3071 nucleotides. The record is from Ensembl. Lineage: Eukaryota; Metazoa; Chordata; Actinopteri; Pomacentridae.